GUGCUUGCUUCAGCAGCACAUACACUAAAAUUGGAAUGACAGAGAGAAGAUUAGCAAGGCCCUUGAACAAGGAGGACAGGCAAAUUCAUGAAGCGUCCCAUAUUUUU
Molecule: small nuclear RNA, 107 nt
Organism: Equus caballus (horse)
Lineage: Eukaryota; Metazoa; Chordata; Mammalia; Perissodactyla; Equidae
Source: Ensembl